This 232-nucleotide long non-coding RNA is filed under the name Mytilus galloprovincialis (Mediterranean mussel). The record is from RNAcentral. Lineage: Eukaryota; Metazoa; Mollusca; Bivalvia; Mytilida; Mytilidae.
AAAUUAAAAUUGAGAAUGGAAAUGGGGAAUGUGCCAAAGAGACAACAACCCGACAAUAGAAAAAAACAACAGCAGAAGGUCACCAACAGGUCUUCAAUGUAGCGAGAAAUUCCCGCACCCGGAGGCGUCCUUCAACUGGCCCCUAAACAAAUGUAUACUAGUUCAGUGAUAAUGAACGCCAUACUAAUUUCCAAAUUGUACACAAGAAACUAAAAUUAAAAUAAUACAAGAC